RNAcentral lists this long non-coding RNA (8619 nucleotides) under Homo sapiens (human). RNAcentral describes it as "HSALNT0337923". Lineage: Eukaryota; Metazoa; Chordata; Mammalia; Primates; Hominidae. The record is from RNAcentral.
GGAUGUGUGGGGGAGCAGAAUUUCCACUUGUUUUCUUUCAUCAACAAAGUAGAACAUCACAGACUCAGAUGAGCCCUAUGUAGCAAUAUGCAAAGGACAUUACUUGAAAACUCAACUUUCUUGUUCUCAGACUUUUAUUAAUGCAGUUUGUUGUCUCCAAAAGAGCAGCAACAAUAUUCUCAGUGGUUCUACCACUCAACCCCUUGGGAUGAAGGUUCUUAGUAAUAUUUCACUAUUUAGUCUACAGCCUAUAUAUGCAUGUACGUUUUGUUUGUUUGAGAUGGAGUCUCACUCUGUCACCAGGCUGGAGUGCAGUGGUGCAAUCUGGGCUUACUGCAGCCUCUACCUCUCAGGCUCAAGAGAUCCUCCCAUCUCAGCCUCCUGAGUAGCUGGGACUACAGGUGCACACCACCACACUCGGUUAAUUUUGUUUGUUUGGAGGCAGGGUUUCACCAUGUUGUCCAGGCUGGUCUCAAACUCCUGGGCUCAAGCAAUCCACCGGCCUCAGCCUCCCAAAAUGCUGAGAUUACAGGCAUGAGCCAACUGUGCCCAGCCAGCCUUAGUAUUUAUAGACCUGGUUUCCUCAGGUCCAAAUCCCUCUCCUUCAAUCAAAUGUUAUACAACUGCAACUGUCCUCCACGUCGCCUCCAUUUAUAGAGCAUUCUAUGACCUUACCUCCCCACCAUUAACUUUUCCCUGGCUAAUUUGAAACUGCCUGUACGAGCUUUAAAUGAGUUCUUUGUGGACUUCGGAAAGUGCUUACAUUCUCAGCAGUUCCUGUAAUCCUGUAACCAAAGAAGCGUUGUUGAUGGCCAAGGCUUAUUCUUCCUACAAAUAUGAUUGAGUUCUGACACCUGGUAUAAUGUUUUCUUUAAAAUGAGAGCCAAUGUAAUAAAAUUCUUUAUGGAAUAGUCUGCAAAAUGCUUUAAUAUAUUAAUAAAAUUAAAACAAUUUUCACAGAAAAUUUUAAUAAUUUUUUCUAACUUCUUUUCUGAUUGCACAGUUAAUUUUACCAUCUAGUUACUUCAAUAAUAUUUUCUCUGCCUACAGAGCAAAUAUAAGGGUAAAUUAUACAGACCCUGCUUUAGAAAGGCUCACAAUUCAAGCUGGUCUAACACGAUGAGUCAAUGCUAUGGAAAAACAGAAGAGACCAGUUAAUUCUAUUCAGAGUAAGAUCAAGGAGGACCUCAUAUGGAUGACCUUGGGACUUACUGGGGUAACUAGACCGAGAAGGAUGAGUCCAUUAUCAGGAUUUAAGAAUCCAGAACUAAGUGCUAAGUAAGGGGUUUAAGGAAAGCAUCAGCAAAAAUUCACUAAUUGUUUUCUUUUUUUUUUUUUUUUGAGACGGAGUCUCGCUCUGUCUCCCAGGCUGGAGUGCAGUGGCGCAAUCUCGGCUCACUGCAAGUUGCGCCUCCCGGGUUCACGCCAUUCUCCUGCCUCAACCUCCCGAGUAGCUGGGACUACAGGCGCCCGCCACCACGCCCGGCUAAUUUUUUUUUUUUUAUAUUUUUAGUAGAGACGGGGUUUCACCGUGUUAGCCAGGAUGGUCUCGAUCUCCUGACCUUGUGAUCCACCUGCCUCAGCCUCCCAAAGUGCUGGGAUUACAGGCGUGACCCACCGCGCCCGGCCUCACUAAUUGUUAGUUUAAAUUACCACCUACAUGAAGUCUUAUACCCUGGCUUUGUAUUUUAUGUUGGCUAAAGAGAAUGAUUCAAUAAGACUAUAGGAUAAAGGCACCAUUAAAGGUGCUUCAGUGGCAUUCUUUCAUUGAGGAGAAAUCUGCAGAAGGGUAGCACUUUCUAGUAAAACAUAGUACUCUAAACACGGUUAGCUUACAUGUUCUUCCAUUUAUUUAAGUGCCUUAAAAACAAAAGGAGAAGCAAAACCCUGAAAGAUCUUGGUUUAAUUCUUUUCUUCUCUAAAAGUAGGUUUCUGUUUUUUGGAGGGGAUUUAAUUGCUCAUCUGAUCUGAAUGCCCAUGACCAGCUCUUGUUUAUCAUUGGCAUGGCCAUGAACACAAACAAUAUAAAAUGCCAAUUUAACCAAUCCACCAUGCUUGUUUUUUCUUUUUUCCUAGGAAUUAACAGUGGCAGGCCCUGGAAAUAGAUGGGUAAGAGCAAAUCUGUGGUCAUCAACUAGGUGCACAGUCCAGUGGGUGUGUGAGAUGCAUGCACAGGGCAGACAGUAGAGCCUGCAACUGUGAUGGAAUUAACAGGGUAGGCCCUGCAAACAGAUGAGUAAAAGCAAAUCUGCGGCCAUCACUAGGUGCACAGUGCAGUGGGGGUGUGUGAGAUGCACAGGGCAGACAGUACAGCCUGCAACUGUGGCGCAGGCGCAGAACAGGAUUGAAUUUCGCUAAAAAGACAAAGGAAGAAAAAGUAUGGUCUCUGUCCUCAGGGCAUUGCAACCCAUUAGGCUGAAUCAUAUGAACUGCAGAUUAUGCAGGUAAAAUAUGGCCACAUAUCCACACCUUCACAGGGCUCUGCCUGACACACGGAGGACACAAUCACAAGAGCCAAAGCAGGGAAGGGGCAGGGAAAAAGUGGACACAACCCCACCCCAGUCCAGUGGUGCGGAUCAAUAAAUCGAGACUUACGGCCAAUCUGAAAUAGAUUCUAUUCAUGAAAGUCCUUCCAGAAACAACAUUCAGGAUGACGGCAUCAGUGUUAGCCAAGUGUCUGAGUGGUCUGGGUGUCACAUCUGUGUGUGUGCCCAAAUGGAUGAAAUUUAUGCACAACCAAUAAGCCCCACAAAAGUGAUUGUUAUGCUGAGCCGAACAACCAUUUUUUACUUCCCUUUGUCUCUCCCAUAGCUUCUCUUUCCUUUUCACUUCCUGGACCUACCAAAGCCUUGGCCUUGGGUGGGGAGGCAUCCAGUGACUGUCCUUUUCAGCUUCAACAAUGGCAACACAAUCUCUUGGCUUUGUAUUUGUGUAAGAGUUCCUUUUCACGAUGAGAAUGUCCAAAAUAGAUACCAUUCUACAUUAUUCCUUUAUUUAAAACCACAGGAAACAUAGAAACGAGUUUGAGGAAUACCACUUCAAGAUGGGAAUGGGAGGCAAAAAUAAUUCAGCCAACUAGGAGGUGGGCAAAAUGCUCCGAUUCCCUUUGUUUUCAUAUACGAUUUCAUUGAAGGAAGUGGAAGGGAUUUAAUAGAAAAGAUAUGAUGAUGACAAAUCAAGUCAAUAUUGAAAGAAUACUCUAGGCGGGGCGCAGUGGCUCACGCCUGUAAUCCCAACACUUUGGGAGGCUGAGGUGAGCGGAUCACCUGAGGUCGGGAGUUCGAGACCAGCCUGACCAACACGAAGAAACCCCAUCUACUAAAAAUACAAAAUUAGCCGGGUGUGGUGGCACAUGCCUGUAAUCCCAGCUACUUGGGAGUCUGAGGCAGGAGAAUCACUUGAACCCAGUAGGCGGAAGUUGCGGUGAGCCAAGAUCGUACCAUUGCACUCCAGCCUGGGCAACAAGACUGAAACUCCGUCUCAAAAAAAAAAAAAAAAGUGUGUCCAAUCACAGACUUUUGUCAUUUCUUGAGUUCUGAAUCGGCUAAAACAUCCGAGUGAGUUUUCUAACAGUAAAAGCUGCAUCUCUAGGCCACUGACCACACUGCAGCCCUCUGACAGUGUCACACUGGCAUUAUUUUGCUGCUUAUGGACAAAAGAAUGAGCAAUUUCCUGUUGGCCAGCUCUGAAUACCUUAUUCACUAGAGGCUGAGAUGGAGUCAGUACUGCUACUACAGGAACACGAGUCAACAUCUCUUAAAUGCUGUGUGCCAGACUAUGCGAAGAAAGGGCCUUAAAAACAUUAUCUCAUUUAAUCACCAUAAGCCUUCGAAGUAGAUGCUAGUAUUAUCCCCAUUUCAUAGAUAACUGAGGAGUGGAGAGGUCAGUCACCUGCUUCAAGUCACAGAUCCCAUAAGUGGCAAAGUGAGACAGCUGGAUGAUCCAACUUCAAAAGCUGAGCCCCCGCCUGCUUCUAUCUGCUUGAUGCAAAUUCCCAAAAGUCAAAGGCUUCUAAAUUCGCGCUAAUUCCUCAAAUCCCUCCUCUUAUCCUGGUGCAGCCUCAGUUGGAGUGACAGGAAGUUUAGAUAUGAGUAAGAAAACGGAACCUGACACUGAGUUAAAAGGACAAUUUCUUCCUUCAGAGACAAUCUUACUUUAUAUUAAACUUCAUUUCUGAAGCUCCCUGAUUCUCUAAAAUAAUCAAAAUGUUCAGCCCAAGAUAUGUCAAAAUGGUGAAGAAAUAUCUUAAAAUCCAGUUUUCACCCCUCUAACAAUAAAGUUAAAUCCUCCCCUUUAAUGGGUCUAGUCAGUGGAAGAACAUUUCUCUCAUUUUAAUCAUUUUUCUCCUGAUAUUUUCUCUCCUUUUAAUCAUUUCUUCACAAACAUCUGAAUGUUUAUGCUCCAGGCAAGAGGAGAGAAAAUGAUGAGAAUAUCCUUAUCCCUGGGUGUGAGGAGUAAUUACUCUACUGCCCUUUUAAAUACCUUUGAGGUUUAUUUCUUAAUUUUUUUCCUCCAACUUCAGUUUCACAACUUCUUCAUGAAACAAGGAGCUUGGUAAAGGAGGCCAGCAAGUAACAGGUUGGCUGUGAGCGUGACAUGAAUGCUCAGGCUGUAAACUGUCUUCCUCAGAGAGCAGUGACUCCAAUGGUCAGUGACAUGCAGGAGGAAACGCAGGAUUAGGACCGACUUUCCUUAGGUGUAGCCUCACGUUUUAAUCCCUGAGGUAUGUUGUAAAUGGGCAGCGCAUGAACAGGUGAUCAACUCAGAAGACGAGCUUCAUAAAGGUUGCCAUAGAACUUUAGAAUAUGCCUAUGGAUGGCCAAGUCACAACCAGAAUUGAGUCCUUAAUCACUGACCCCAUGUGUAUUUCUAUGGAAGGGGAGUGCAGUAUGUGGCCCAAAGGUUCUGAAAAACUGUGUGUGACAGUCUCCUGGCUGUGUAGCAUUUUUUGUUGCUUAUAGACAAAAUUUCUCUCCUCUAUCCAAAUCAGUAGGCCAUAGGCCAUUAUUUAAGACAAACUUUUGAGUAUAAAAAAUUUGUCUUUUACAUACACAAAUGCACACAUAUAUAGGGUUUGGGACAGACUCCACACCCCUAAAACUAGAGGAAAAACAAGGCCCUCUAGCAGGUCUGAACAUGAUGUAAUCACUUUUUCCUUUACUUAUGUAAAAGGUACCCUUUGUCAAAUUAGCACACUUCUGGCAAUAAUUCUGGCCCCAAAUAAAUAGAAACUUUAAGUUGAAACUUGGCAAUUGUGAAAUUUCCAAAUAAUUAAAAGGUAAAUUUUACAGUAAAGAGACUAAUUUUUUUCUAAUUCCAUAUGCUAUAGGCUACAAAAUAUAUAUUUAAAUUCCCUUAGGUAUUACCAAAUGUGUGUUGAGGUCCUCAACUGGGGUUGAGGGACCCUAACUAGGGGUUAAUACAUCAUGCAAAAUUUUCCACGUAUUGGAAGAAACAUCAGAAAUCAGCUUUUGUGUGCUCCUUAAGCCAGUUUUAAAAUAGAUUUUAAAAUAUUCACCUUCCAGCUGAUUAGCAUGAAAGGUUUGAAAAAUAUACAAAAGCAGAGUGCUAUGGAUUGCAUGUUUAUGUCCUCCCAAAAUUCAUCUGUUGAAACCCUAAUCUCCAAAGCAAUGGUAUUAGGAGGCGGAGCUAAUACCAUAAGUGGGCCUUUGGGAAGUGAGUAGGUCCUGAGGGUGGAGCCCUCAUGAAUAUUAGCGCCCUCACAAGAAGGGAAAGGAGAGCUUGCUUGCUUCCUUUCUCUCUCUCUGCCAUGUAAGGAUGCAAUGGGAAGAUGAUGGCUAUCAGCAAACCAGGGUAAGGGUGCUCACCAGGAACUCACCUUGAUCUUGGACUUCCCAGCCUCCAGAACGGUGAGAAAUUUCUGUCAUUUAAGCUACCCAGUGUAUGGUAUUUUGUUAUUGCAGCCUGAGCUGAUUAAGACACAGAGUAACUCACAAAAUAAAUAACAUCAAGUAUCACUGGCCAAGCCAAUGAGCAGUCAUACCAAAAGUAGUUUACUUUUAAGAUGUCCAUCUUCCACAGAAUCUCCAAGGAAGUAGCUUGCAGUAGUCUCAUCCCCACGGAAAUGAUGCAGUGAUUUUAUGCACAAGGGUAGGAGCAAAAUGUGAACUAAUGGUCUACAAAACUAAUCUCAUCUACAAUAGAAGAAAACAAGUCAGGCCUACUUCUCCAUACCAUUCAUGCCUAUGGUGGCAAAAGGCAGCAUGAGUCUCAUGCUUUGCUGGUGACAUUCAAAUGUCAGACAGAUUUACUUACUCGAGCUCUUUGGCGGAUGAAAAGUUUUGUGUCAAUACCUCAGGGUUUGCUGCAAUACUAACAACCUAAAGAGGAAUGUUCAUGGUCUUCCAGGGAAAAAAUUAAAAAAAGAAAGCCCACAAAAUAGAUUCUGAAAUUUCAGGUUUGGUGGGGAAAGAACUGAGAGAGAAGCAGAGAUAGGAAAUGGACAAAUAUAUAGACUGAAAUACUACUUAAGGAGGAUACAGGAUUUCUUUUAAAAUACUUGUUCUGAAAGAGAUGGUACCCUCCCCCACCUCCGCCCAAGAGGCAGUUCUGGAAAUGUGAGCAUGUUAGGGGUGCCACUGAUGGGCGGCCACUACUGAGAUUUAACCUGUUGGAGCAUGCGUGAUACACAAGCCCUGCAGCUUACAGCCCUCACAACAAAGAGCUGACUCAUCAACACAACUUUCAAUUGCCCCGCCCAAUAUUCAUAUAGAUGGGAACUCAGUUUACAAUAACAAAUCUAUGAUCUCAUUUCAUUUUAUAUAUAAACACACAGAAUUUUCAGCCCAGUUUUAAUAUGCUUUGGAUUUUUCAAGAAUGCAAUGAGAGAAUUCUAUAAAUGGAAGGAAGCCUAUAUACUGAGUGAUUAUGAGCAAGAAAGCCAGAGCCAGGCUGCUUUCAUUUUAAUCCCAGCUCUGCCAUUAUUAGCACAUAACCAGGAUGACUAGCACAUAACCUGGGUAACUCCCUCAUAUGCAAAACGGGACUAACAGCAGUACUCACCUCAUAGAUUUAUUAGAAAGGUAUUAGAACAAUGCCAGGCACACAGCAAGCACUAUAUGAGUGAAGCCAUUACAGACUAGGUAUGCCUAGAACUUUAUCUAAAGAAUUGGCCACAUUUUAGAAAAUCAUACUGCUGACAUCGACCCCUUUCCUGGUAUUGAACUGCCAAUGCAGCAGGUCUGAAUUGGUAACUACCACAUUCAUGGUGAUUUUUCACAUAUUUAUAUUUAUACACACACAUACAAAGUAUGUGCCCUGCUUAGUAGUUUAAUUACAUCUUGUAAUAUAACCAUGCUAGAAUAUGUACAUAUGAAAAUAAUUAUUUCAUUAUAAAAUAUCUUAUCUGUUUCAGUUAGAACGUCACUGAUGGGUAUGUUUUAGAGGCUAGUUAUAUUACCUGCUAGUUUCAUUUCAGAAUAGUAAAUGGAGUGAUGUUUUUAUGAGUGAAGGUAAGCUUCAUCAUCCAUGAUUUUCAUUUGAAGAUUGAAAAGUGAUGCUAUAAAAUAUUAUAAUAGGGGUAGGUGUUGAGUUGUGUCUGGGAGAGUUUUAACAAUCACUCUUGUAAAGUAUCCUGUCAAGGAGUUCAAGAUCAGCCUGGCCAACAUGGUGAAACUCCAUCUCUACUAAAAAUACAAAAAUUAGCCAGGUGUGGUGGCGGGCACCUGUAAUCCCAGCUACUUGGGAGGCUGAGGCAGGAGAAUUGCCUGAACCUGGGAGGCAGAGGCUGCAGUGAGUUGAGAUUGUACCACUGCACUCUAGCCUGGGUGACAGAGUGAGAAUCUGUCUCAGAAAAAAAAAAAAAUUUUUUUUAAAGAAAUAAAAAUAAAGAAUCCUGUCAAAAAGCAUCAUCAAGCAACUUCAUAUGUGAACACACGUCCACAAUUAAACCUGGAUUACUACUGAGGCAAGCAGUUUCCAUUAAUUUCUAAGAAAUCCAUAUUAAACUAUUAUUUAUGUAUGUCCAUAGUAGAGGUUUACAAAGGUUUUUUUUUUUUAGCAGCAAUAUAUUUUUCAAACACAAUUCAGGAGAAAACCUCAAAUAAAAAGAAAGAUGAAGCUGUGGAGGGUGACUGCAAGUAGAGGAGCCAGGAACUUCUCUCGCGGGUCCUGGGACUCCAGGGAACAAAGGCUGAAAAGCACCAAUCUGGUUGGCCACUGCCUAUAAUGAAGACUGACUGCCGAAUAUUCACUUAAAGGAUGGCUGUUCAAUUCACAAGUGGCAUUUUCCCCACAGAAAAAGAGCUCACCAGCCAGCUAAGGCCUCCAGAGUGAUUUAACUCAUCAUCCAGUGGAACUACAGCUCUUAGAGUUCUCCCCACAAUCUGGGGAGUAAGAGGAGAUGUUGCCACCCACUUCCUGGGCAUAAAGCCAGCUCAAGACAAGAGUAAAACAGGCAGGGCUGGCUCGCCCCUCGUACACAGCUCCCUCCUCAUCACCAGUGCCCUACACGAGACCUCCCCAGCCCACACCCCACCCUCCUAGUGUGUUGAACACCCUGUGGUCACACACUGCAAGCCUCUUCUCUCCAUCUGCCAAACACCCUUGGGUCUCCAUGUCUCCAUGAAAUACCAGAUCUUUUUCUUUUUGUUUUUUUUU